Molecule: small RNA, 29 nt
Filed under: Bombyx mori (domestic silkworm)
Lineage: Eukaryota; Metazoa; Arthropoda; Insecta; Lepidoptera; Bombycidae
Description: ovarian small RNA-37316
Source: RNAcentral
UUCCUCCAUCUUUACGUGAUUUUCGCCCA